This 243-nucleotide ribosomal RNA is filed under the name uncultured bacterium. Its description in RNAcentral is "partial small subunit ribosomal RNA". It matches the Rfam family "Bacterial small subunit ribosomal RNA", at positions 26 to 285 of the family's 1533-position model. The record is from RNAcentral.
AGAAUCAACACUGGCGGCGUGCCUAACACAUGCAAGUCGAACGAGAAAGUGGAGCAAUCCAUGAGUAAAGUGGCGCACGGGUGAGUAACACGUGACUAACCUACCCUUGAGUGGGGAAUAACCUAGGGAACCUGGGCUAAUACCGCAUAACACCUACGGGUCAAAGGAGCAAUUCGCUUAAGGAGGGGGUCGCGGCAGAUUAGCUAGUUGGCGGGUAAUGGCCCACCAAGGCAGUGAUCUGUA